UACGAAGGGGGCUAGCGUUGUUCGGAUUUACUGGGCGUAAAGCGCACGUAGGCGGAUCGUUAAGUCGGGGGUGAAAUCCUGGAGCUCAACUCCAGAACUGCCUUCGAUACUGGCGAUCUUGAGUCCGGAAGAGGUGAGUGGAACUCCUAGUGUAGAGGUGGAAUUCGUAGAUAUUAGGAGGAACACCAGUGGCGAAGGCGGCUACCUGGACCAGCACUGACACUGAGGCACGAAAGCGUGGGGAGCAAACAGG
This 253-nucleotide ribosomal RNA is filed under the name uncultured bacterium. RNAcentral describes it as "partial 16S ribosomal RNA". It matches the Rfam family "Bacterial small subunit ribosomal RNA", at positions 524 to 776 of the family's 1533-position model. The record is from RNAcentral.